CUCCUCUCUCUCUCUCUCUCCCUUCUAUAAAAGUCUGCAUAUAGCCGACCCUAUUCCCUUAAAAUCCAACAGAAAAUAAAUGCACGUACGUACCACGAAAUAAUAAUAAUAAAACUAUAGUAAUAUAAAAGAGAAAGAGAAAAACAGAAACAAAACCUUGUGAUUUACGUUAUCCUUAUAACUUUAGCCUGCUGCUUGAAUAUAUGUCCUUGACUUUUUGUUUCCUCAGUAGCCCCUCUUAACUCUUUAACUGAAUAUUUAGCCUUCUCCUGCAAAAAUAAAAUAAAAAUUAACCUGAUUUUAUUUCUUAUACGGACUAGAGAAUUGGUUCAAAAUAUAUAAAAUAACUUAACUUCUAUACACUGAUUUUAUGAAAAAAAUUAAUCACCUAAAUGUUAAAUGACAUAUAGUCGUCCAUAAUAAAUGAUAGUGUGAAAAAUCUUCACUAUCUGUGCAUAUAGGUUGAACAAAUCAUCAGAUUAUAGUAGAGAAGAUCAUAUGCAGAUUUGACCUGAAGUGAAAUUUAUGAAAUGGGUAAGAAACAAAUCUUUGACUUUGAAGCAAAAGGAGCAGUUGGAGCAGUAAAAUCAAGCAAAAGAAGUAGAUAAGACAGGUAAAAAAUAAAUAAUGUUAAUUUGAUCUUUGAAUAGUUGAGAAGUGAAUAGUUACCCAAAAAACUUCAAGAUUUGGUUUCUAACAAACAUAAGAAGAGAGCUGGAAAUUUUCACUUAAAAUGAGUAGAAGAAAGUGUAGAAGAAGCUUGAAUAGAAGUGAAACCAAAUAAUCCAAGAUUUGAUUUUUUAGAAAAAGAGCAAGGCCAGGAAAAAGCAAACAAAAGCAGUUCAAAAUUAUCUUUUUAAGAAAACAGAGAAGAGCAAAACGAAACCUUUUUAUAGAAACCACUUUGCUGGAAAAUGCGAGUCUUGAAAAUGUGUUUGGUCGACGAGAAAAGCAAAAGGAAUGAAGGAGAGAGGAGUUUAUAGAAACGAGUUUUGGGAAUAAAUAGAGUUUUGGGAAGUCAAAUAAUACUCUUUCUCAUUUCUUAUACACUCAAACAUCUCUAUAAUAUUCUCAUUUGUCACAAUAUUAACUGUUAAUAUUAUAAAAGAUAUAUAUUCUAACAUAACACAAAAAUCGAUUUUCAGAAAAAAUUAACUUUUAUAUAAUAACUAUUAUAUAAGAAUACUGUUGUAAAAAAUAUAUAAAAAAAUCUAACUUUUAUAUAAUAACUAUUAUAUAAGAAUAGUGUUGUAGACAGUAUGUGAAAGUAUCCAACUAAACACGAGUUUAACUAAAAUCAGACUUCUGAAACAUACCAAAAAUAGUGAAAUAAUUGAGUUGUGCAUAAAUUGAUCUGAAUAUCUUCGUUAUUAAAAGAAGUUACCGAAAGUAUCUAUAAAUUUUUUAAAUUUCAUACCGUGUGAAACUAUAAAUUAAACGGAGAAAAUAUUUUAAUUUGGGCAUUGGGAAUAUAAUGUGUAAGAUGUGUGAUUAAGAUUAAACAAAUGGAAAUGAACUCUGAAUACAGAAAACAAAGUUGCACACUCGCUCACAACCUUUAAGGAAAAAAGAGAACUUUCAUCGAAAGAAAAGAGAAGCUAAAGACUAAAAAAGAGCUUUAAGCAUGCAGUUAACAAAAUGUAUUUUUUUUCAUAGUUAGCAGGCUUUUGAAUGUUUAAUACAAAAAACAAUGAAGAUUAAAAAUAGAAAAAGAAUUAAAUAAAGAAAUGACUAAAGAUAGGUAAAGAUUCCAUACUAGCUCUUUUGAUUAUUUGAAUGUUUGUUUUCUGCAAAAGGGUCUGUUUGCUUUUUUUCUCUUUAACUUUGUUGCAGAUCUGAGGACACAAAUAUAGAGAUUGCAGAGUUGUUUAUUCGCCGGAAAUAUAGUCGGAAAAUGAAUAAGAAUUAAGAUUCAAAAAUGUGUAAAAAAGUGAGAGCAAAAGGCAAGAAGUAGGAUUUUUUAUAAUUAAAGAAGUGGUGGUGGUGGCUAUGAAUUAAAACACUUUUAAAAUUGAGUCUAUAGAGGACUAAAUUCAACUCCCAAAUCAAGAAAACAUGCGUGGCUGUAGUAAUUGCAAAAUAAU
Molecule: long non-coding RNA, 2084 nt
Filed under: Nicotiana tabacum (common tobacco)
Lineage: Eukaryota; Viridiplantae; Streptophyta; Magnoliopsida; Solanales; Solanaceae
Description: long non-coding RNA (NTAB_LNC004840)
Source: RNAcentral